UGGGGAAUUUUGGACAAUGGGCGCAAGCCUGAUCCAGCCAUUCCGCGUGAGUGAAGAAGGCCUUCGGGUUGUAAAGCUCUUUCGGCAGGGAAGAAACAGUUGAGGCUAAUAUCCUUGACCAAUGACGGUACCUGAAGAAGAAGCACCGGCUAACUNNGUG
This 160-nucleotide ribosomal RNA is filed under the name uncultured bacterium. RNAcentral's name for it is "partial 16S ribosomal RNA". It matches the Rfam family "Bacterial small subunit ribosomal RNA", at positions 355 to 507 of the family's 1533-position model. The record is from RNAcentral.